This 77-nucleotide transfer RNA is filed under the name Desulfovibrionales bacterium. RNAcentral describes it as "tRNA-Arg". It matches the Rfam family "tRNA". Rfam says of the family: Transfer RNA (tRNA) molecules are approximately 80 nucleotides in length. Their secondary structure includes four short double-helical elements and three loops (D, anti-codon, and T loops). Lineage: Bacteria; Pseudomonadati; Thermodesulfobacteriota; Desulfovibrionia; Desulfovibrionales. The record is from RNAcentral.
CCGCCCUUAGCUCAGCUGGAUAGAGUAGCGGACUUCGAAUCCGUUGGUCGCACGUUCGAAUCGUGCAGGGCGGGCCA